GAGUUUGAUCCUGGCUCAGGACGAACGCUGGCGGCGCGCCUAACACAUGCAAGUCGAACGAGCGAGAGAGAGCUUGCUUUCUCAAGCGAGUGGCGAACGGGUGAGUAACGCGUGAGGAACCUGCCUCAAAGAGGGGGACAACAGUUGGAAACGACUGCUAAUACCGCAUAAGCCCACAGCUCGGCAUCGAGCAGAGGGAAAAGGAGCAAUCCGCUUUGAGAUGGCCUCGCGUCCGAUUAGCUAGUUGGUGGGGUAAUGGCCCACCAAGGCGACGAUCGGUAGCCGGACUGAGAGGUUGAACGGCCACAUUGGGACUGAGACACGGCCCAGACUCCUACGGGAGGCAGCAGUGGGGAAUAUUGCACAAUGGGGGAAACCCUGAUGCAGCGACGCCGCGUGGAGGAAGAAGGUCUUCGGAUUGUAAACUCCUGUUGUUGAGGGAGAUAAUGACGGUACUCAACAAGGAAGUGACGGCUAACUACGUGCCAGCAGCCGCGGUAAAACGUAGGUCACAAGCGUUGUCCGGAAUUACUGGGCGUAAAGGGAGCGCAGGCGGGAAGACAAGUUGGAAGUGAAAUCUAUGGGCUCAACCCAUAAACUGCUCUCAAAACUGUUUUUCUUGAGUAGUGCAGAGGUAGGCGGAAUUCCCGGUGUAGCGGUGGAAUGCGUAGAUAUCGGGAGGAACACCAGUGGCGAAGGCGGCCUACUGGGCACCACUGACGCUGAGGCUCGAAAGUGUGGGUAGCAAACAGGAUUAGAUACCCUGGUAGUCCACACCGUAAACGAUGAUUACUAGGUGUUGGAGGAUUGACCCCUUCAGUGCCGCAGUUAACACAAUAAGUAAUCCACCUGGGGAGUACGACCGCAAGGUUGAAACUCAAAGGAAUAGACGGGGGCCCGCACAAGCAGUGGAGUAUGUGGUUUAAUUCGACGCAACGCGAAGAGCCUUACCAAGUCUUGACAUCCUGCGACGGACAUAGAAAUAUGUCUUUCCUUCGGGACGCAGAGACAGGUGGUGCAUGGUUGUCGUCAGCUCGUGUCGUGAGAUGUUGGGUUAAGUCCCGCAACGAGCGCAACCCUUACUGUCAGUUACUACGCAAGAGGACUCUGGCAGGACUGCCGUUGACAAAACGGAGGAAGGUGGGGAUGACGUCAAAUCAUCAUGCCCUUUAUGACUUGGGCUACACACGUACUACAAUGGCGUUAAACAAAGAGAAGCAAGACCGCGAGGUGGAGCAAAACUCAGAAACAACGUCCCAGUUCGGACUGCAGGCUGCAACUCGCCUGCACGAAGUCGGAAUUGCUAGUAAUCGUGGAUCAGCAUGCCACGGUGAAUACGUUCCCGGGCCUUGUACACACCGCCCGUC
This 1367-nucleotide ribosomal RNA is filed under the name uncultured bacterium. Its description in RNAcentral is "bacterial SSU rRNA". It matches the Rfam family "Bacterial small subunit ribosomal RNA". The record is from RNAcentral.